CUACGGGGCGCUCCAGUUAGGUAUAAUCUACAAUGCGCGCAAGCGUGAUAGUUUGAGCCAGAGUGCGUUUCUAUUGAAGUGCUUUUGUGAAAUGUAAAAAGUUUCGCGAAUAAGGACUGGGUAAGACUAGUGCCAGCCGCCGCGGUAAUACUAGCGGUCCAAGUCGCAGCCAUUUUUAUUGGGUCUAAAACAUCCGUAGCUUGCUUUGUAAGUUUCUUGUGAAAUAUUAUGUCUCAAGCAUGAUGCGCGCAAGAAGUACUGCAGAGCUAGAGACAGGGAGACGGAAGGAGUACGUUUGAAGUAGCGGUAAAAUGUUUUAAUCUCAGACGGACUAACAAUAGCGAAGGCACCUUUCGAGAACUGUUCUGACAGUAAGGGAUGAAGGCUAAGGGCGCAAAACGGAUUAGAUACCCGCGUAGUC
RNAcentral lists this ribosomal RNA (421 nucleotides) under uncultured archaeon. Its description in RNAcentral is "partial 16S ribosomal RNA". It matches the Rfam family "Archaeal small subunit ribosomal RNA", at positions 323 to 746 of the family's 1478-position model. The record is from RNAcentral.